GGAAUCUUGCGCAAUGGUCGAAAGACUGACGCAGCGACGCCGCGUGCGGGAGGAAGCCCUUCGGGGUGUAAACCGCUGUUACUCGGGACGAACUUCCCGAUUCAUCGGGAUUGACGGUACCGGGGGAGGCAGCACCGGCUAACUCUGUGCCAGCAGCCGCGGUAAUACAGAGGGUGCGAGCGUUGUCCGGAAUCACUGGGCGUAAAGGGCGCGUAGGCGGCUUUUCAAGCGUGCGGUGAAAGCUCGGGGCUUAACUCCGAGUCUGCCGUGCGAACUGGGAGGCUUGAGUCUGGUAGAGGUCGAUGGAAUUCCGGGUGUAGCGGUGGAAUGCGUAGAGAUCCGGAAGAACACCGGUGGCGAAGGCGGCUUCCUGGACCGAUCACUGACGCUGAGGCGCGAAAGCUAGGGGAGCAAAC
RNAcentral lists this ribosomal RNA (416 nucleotides) under uncultured bacterium. RNAcentral describes it as "bacterial SSU rRNA". It matches the Rfam family "Bacterial small subunit ribosomal RNA", at positions 358 to 773 of the family's 1533-position model. The record is from RNAcentral.